This 648-nucleotide long non-coding RNA is filed under the name Anolis carolinensis (green anole). RNAcentral's name for it is "lncRNA (ENSACAG00000041106.1)". The record is from RNAcentral. Lineage: Eukaryota; Metazoa; Chordata; Lepidosauria; Squamata; Anolidae.
AUGCGAUGGCUGCCUCUUUCCCGCUCCCUCCCUCUCUCCCUCCCCCGACGAGGCAGCACCUGCGGCUCUCUCCAGGCCCUCCCCGUCCGGAGGCCGGUUGCCUGGCCAUUGGCUGCGGGCUGGAGGGGCCGGCGAGUCCGGCUUGGGCUCCCAUUGGCGGCCAGAGAGCCCGGCCCGGCCCCGUUCGCCCCCUUUUCGCCUCGCCCGGAGCGCCCCGUCCAAAAGACCGGCAAGAUGCGAACACCGGCUCUGGGCGCGCUCUGCUUGCUGGGCUUCCUGGCAAUGGCAGCAAUGGAGGAGAAAGGGGGUGCUCCGGAGAGGCGCAAGAAGGAGCCCACGGGGAGGGUCCCCAAGGCGGCCAGAGUAUCUGAGCUCCAAAUGGUGCUGCAGAGACGAAAGGCUUUGGAUCCCUCUGAGAAGAUGGCCAUGAUCCUGGCCCAACAUCUCGCCUCCCGUCCUGACGCUGCCAGGAAUGGCCUCCCUGGACACGCCGCCCGACCAACACGAAGGCCCCAUGGUAAUAGGGUACAGGAGGAGUGGGUGAGGCACGUGGGAAGCCACGUGAAACAGAGAGGGAGGUUGGGUUUGGCGUGGUAUCUAAUGAUCAUAAAGGGCCUAAAGGGCCAAAAGACAGCAGAUGCUGUCUGA